This 384-nucleotide ribosomal RNA is filed under the name Selenomonas sputigena ATCC 35185. RNAcentral's name for it is "bacterial SSU rRNA". It matches the Rfam family "Bacterial small subunit ribosomal RNA", at positions 7 to 376 of the family's 1533-position model. The record is from RNAcentral. Lineage: Bacteria; Bacillati; Bacillota; Negativicutes; Selenomonadales; Selenomonadaceae.
GAGAGUUUGAUCCUGGCUCAGGACGAACGCUGGCGGCGUGCUUAACACAUGCAAGUCGAACGGGAACCUUUAUUUCGGUAAAGGUGAGAGUGGCAAACGGGUGAGUAACACGUAGGCAACCUGCCGACAGGAUGGGGACAACAUUCCGAAAGGAAUGCUAAUACCGAAUGGAGUCCGGAGAUGGCAUCAUCUCCGGAUAAAAGAUGGCCUCUGAAUAUGCUAUCGCCUGUCGAUGGGCCUGCGUCUGAUUAGCCAGUUGGCGGGGUAACGGCCCACCAAAGCGACGAUCAGUAGCCGGUCUGAGAGGAUGAACGGCCACAUUGGGACUGAGACACGGCCCAGACUCCUACGGGAGGCAGCAGUGGGGAAUCUUCCACAAUGGGC